GGCGCCAUGGCCAAGUGGUUAAGGCAGCGGUUUGCAAAACCGCUAUUCCCCAGUUCGAAUCUGGGUGGCGCCUCCA
Molecule: transfer RNA, 76 nt
Filed under: Candidatus Peregrinibacteria bacterium
Lineage: Bacteria; Candidatus Peregrinibacteriota
Description: tRNA-Cys
Rfam family: tRNA
About the family: Transfer RNA (tRNA) molecules are approximately 80 nucleotides in length. Their secondary structure includes four short double-helical elements and three loops (D, anti-codon, and T loops).
Source: RNAcentral